This 336-nucleotide unclassified non-coding RNA is filed under the name soil metagenome. Its description in RNAcentral is "partial contains 5.8S ribosomal RNA, internal transcribed spacer 2, and large subunit ribosomal RNA". The stretch from base 1 to 120 matches the Rfam family "5.8S ribosomal RNA", at positions 35 to 154 of the family's 154-position model. The record is from RNAcentral.
GAUGAAGAACGUAGCGAAAUGCGAUAAGUAAUGUGAAUUGCAGAAUUCAGUGAAUCAUCGAAUCUUUGAACGCACAUUGCGCCCGCCAGUAUUCUGGCGGGCAUGCCUGUUCGAGCGUCAUUUCAACCACCAAGCCCCAGGCUUGUGUUGGGGACCUGCGGCUGCCGCAGGCCCUGAAAACCAGUGGCGGGCUCGCUGUCACACCGGGCGUAGUAGAUUUUAUCUCGCUCAGGGCGUGCUGCGGGUUCCGGCCGUUAAAAAGCCUUUUUUACCCAAGGUUGACCUCGGAUCAGGUAGGAAGACCCGCUGAACUUAAGCAUAUCAAUAAGCGGAGGA